This 900-nucleotide ribosomal RNA is filed under the name Cladorrhinum foecundissimum. Its description in RNAcentral is "LSU rRNA". It matches the Rfam family "Eukaryotic large subunit ribosomal RNA", at positions 38 to 965 of the family's 3401-position model. Lineage: Eukaryota; Fungi; Ascomycota; Sordariomycetes; Sordariales; Podosporaceae. The record is from RNAcentral.
GCAUAUCAAUAAGCGGAGGAAAAGAAACCAACAGGGAUUGCCCCAGUAACGGCGAAGUGAAGCGGCAACAGCUCAAAUUUGAAAUCUGGCCUCGGCCCGAGUUUGUAAUUUGCAGAGGAUGCUUCUGGCGAGGCACCGACCGAGUCCCCUGGAACGGGGCGCCAUAGAGGGUGAGAGCCCCGUAUGGUCGGACGCUUAGCCUGUGUGAAGCUCCUUCGACGAGUCGAGUAGUUUGGGAAUGCUGCUCAAAAUGGGAGGUAAAUUUCUUCUAAAGCUAAAUACCGGCCAGAGACCGAUAGCGCACAAGUAGAGUGAUCGAAAGAUGAAAAGCACUUUGAAAAGAGGGUUAAAUAGCACGUGAAAUUGUUGAAAGGGAAGCGCUUGUGACCAGACUUGCGCCUGGCCGAUCAUCCGGGGUUCUCCCCGGUGCACUCGGCCAGGCUCAGGCCAGCAUCGGUUCUCUCGGGGGGACAAAGGCUCCGGGAACGUAGCUCCCUCCGGGGAGUGUUAUAGCCCGGGGCGUAAUGCCCUCGAGGGGACCGAGGACCGCGCUUCGGCAAGGAUGCUGGCGUUACGGUCAUCAGCGACCCGUCUUGAAACACGGACCAAGGAGUCAAGGUUUUGCGCGAGUGUUUGGGUGUAAAACCCGCACGCGUAAUGAAAGUAAACGUAGGUGAGAGCUUCGGCGCAUCAUCGACCGGCCCAGAUGUUCUCGGAAGGGCCUGAGUAGGAGCGUUAAGCCUUGGACCCGAAAGAUGGUGAACUAUGCUUGGAUAGGGUGAAGCCAGAGGAAACUCUGGUGGAGGCUCGCAGCGGUUUCUGACGUGCAAAUCGAUCGUCAAAUCUGAGCAUGGGGGGCGAAAGACUAAUCGAACCAUCUAGUAGCUGGUUACCGCCGAA